Long non-coding RNA from Orcinus orca (killer whale), 1681 nucleotides. RefSeq lists it as uncharacterized. The record is from RefSeq and is a predicted model, not a curated record. Lineage: Eukaryota; Metazoa; Chordata; Mammalia; Artiodactyla; Delphinidae. The transcript has 3 exons.
UAUUUAUUUAUUUAUUUAUUUUGCGGUACGCGGGCCUCUCACUGCUGUGGCCUCUCCUGUUGCGGAGCACAGGCUCCGUACGCGCAGGCUCAGCGGCCAUGGCUCACGGGCCCAGCCGCUCCGCAGCAUGUGGGAUCCUCCCGGACCGGGGCACGAACCCGUGUCCCCUGCAUCGGCAGGCGGACUCUCAACCACUGCGCCACCAGGGAAGCCCUGGCCGUGGGUUUUGAUUUGGAGGCCAGGACAGCUGACCUUUCAGAACCAGAGAGAAACCUUUUAUAUUUUGAGGCAGCUGAUUUUCAUUAUUAUUUUUUAGAGGCUCUAAAGCGUCUCUAAAACCAUCUCCUGGACGUAGAACUUCUCUUUGUUUUCCCCUAAUGCUUACUUGGCUUCUGAAAAUGCAUUAAAUCAGUAGUCAUUCUGCUGCUCCCAAAUGUGUCCCACUCCAGCCCCAUCGUCUGGCUGGUGAUGAUUCUCUUUAUCAAUCCCAAGACAGCAGCUGAACCUCCUGCGCGAUCUGGCAUCUCCCCGUCCUCCCCACUCCCCGCCCCCCUGUCCUGCUCGGCCCUCUUGAAUUUAAACUGUCAGCCCUGCAGUGACAGACAUCGCGAGUUGGAGGGGAGGGAGACAGUGCUAUUUAUAAUCCAGCGGAGUUCACCCUCAGAACACGGCCAUUUUUUUCCAGGCCACCUGCCAGAACCCACAUUCUCCAGGCUCCAUAUAUGGGCCUCCCCACAGGCCCCUGUGGCCACAGCCUCACCUCUGAGGGGACCAAGGCAGCCAGGCGACUCAGGAAGGGGUGUUACUUUGUCCGUGAGGAAACUGGGGAGCAGAGAGGUUAAGCCGUGUGUCUACCCCCGAGUCUAUCCGGCUCCUGACCCCCAGUCUCUCCGCUCAUCCAGAACACAGUAGACCUGCAGAAAAUCUUCACUCACGUGGCAGUCCUUCGGCUGAGGCACCCUUUACUUGCCAGCUCUUUUCAGCCUAGGAUGGAUUCCUGAUUCUCUUUUGACUCCGUGGCCUCCGAAACCAGCCCCGAGGGGCCACGAUCCUGUAUCUGCGGCGGUCCCAGGCAUCCCUACCGUUCCUCCUUCGCCUGUGACCAAUAUGGGACUAGCACUUCAGCAGAGGAAAAGCAGCAGCAGGAGUUGAUCAAUUCCUAAGCAACGAAGAUCCUGUUUUCAUGCAAACGUCCUCGGCAUUAAAACAAAAACAAAUUCUUCCCAGGGUGCGUCCUGGAUGCCAAGUCUUCUUGCAAGACACAUUCUGAAGCAAGGUUUUGCGCCUGUGCUAGAGACCGAGGGGGGCUGGGAGGAGAGCUGCGUGCCAAGUGUCGUCUUGAUAUGCUCUCAUUUUAAACUCACAGCCACCCCACGAGCUAGCCCCAGUCGGAUCUCGGCUUGACAGAUAAGGAAACAGGCAGAGAGAAAUGAGGGAACGGGUCCAGUGUCUAUCAGCUGGCGAUGGCAGCCAGGGCACAUGACCAGAUCUGAUUGAAGCUGUAUUGUUUUGGACACAGACACAGGUAUCCACUGCGACUGUAUUCACCUUACAAAGACGAGGGGAUGACCAUGAAUGUUUCAGAUGACUACAGACAAAAUCUUUUUUUCCCCUUAGUGUACUUUUCCCAUCACUUAAAUAAAAAGUGUGCUUUUCCCCUCAAAUAAAAAGAAAGAAGGAU